UGCAGCCGUAGCCUCAAAAAGAUUCAGAUCUUCGUGAAAACCCUAACGGGAAGACCAUUACGCUAGAGGUCGAGUCAUCUGACACCAUCGACUAUGUGAAAGCGAAGAUACAAGACAAGGAAGGGAUCUCACCGGACCAGCAGCCUUUGAUUUUCGCCGGGAAGCAGCUCGAGGACGGCCGCAGUUCUUAUCAAAUAAAAUAAAAAAGUUUCGAUAAACUUGAUUUGUGCAGUUGGUCUCGUCUGCUCUUCAAAGAUGCCGUUUAUCAGAUACAGAUCCUCCGAUUACGUCUAUUUCGAUCGCAGAUACGGCAUCGACGAAGCGGCUGCUACUCCUCUGCAGGCAGUGAAUAGGGGUCACUCUGACAGCGAAGUUAACACAACACGGAAACUCUUUUCCUUUCUCUCUAAUUUUAGUGUUUAGGGUUUUGGAUGAUUUAGAUUUUAGACCUCUAUAAUGGGGAAUUGCUU
Non-coding RNA from Camelina sativa (false flax), 470 nucleotides. Lineage: Eukaryota; Viridiplantae; Streptophyta; Magnoliopsida; Brassicales; Brassicaceae. The record is from RefSeq and is a predicted model, not a curated record.